GUGAAUUGCGUGCCGGCUCCGGCGGUAAGACGAAGGGGGCAGACGUUGUUCGUGAUUACUGGGCGGAAAGUGCGCGUAGGCGGUCUGUUGAGGCAGGCGUGAAAGCCCUGGGCUUAACCUGGGAUGUGCGCUUGAGACUGGAAGGCUUGAGUGUGGGAGAGGUUGGUAGAAUUCCCAGUGUAGAGGUGAAAUUCGUAGAUAUUGGGAAGAACACCGGUGGCGAAGGCGGCCAACUGGACCACAACUGACGCUGAGGCGCGAAAGCGUGGGGAGCAAACAGGAUUAGAUACCCUAGUAGUC
This 300-nucleotide ribosomal RNA is filed under the name uncultured Bdellovibrio sp. RNAcentral's name for it is "bacterial SSU rRNA". It matches the Rfam family "Bacterial small subunit ribosomal RNA", at positions 496 to 795 of the family's 1533-position model. Lineage: Bacteria; Pseudomonadati; Bdellovibrionota; Bdellovibrionia; Bdellovibrionales; Pseudobdellovibrionaceae. The record is from RNAcentral.